This 467-nucleotide ribosomal RNA is filed under the name uncultured bacterium. Its description in RNAcentral is "partial 16S ribosomal RNA". It matches the Rfam family "Bacterial small subunit ribosomal RNA", at positions 28 to 507 of the family's 1533-position model. The record is from RNAcentral.
GACGAACGCUGGCGGCGUGCUUAACACAUGCAAGUCGAACGGAAAGGCCCUGCUUUUGUGGGGUGCUCGAGUGGCGAACGGGUGAGUAACACGUGAGUAACCUGCCCUUGACUUUGGGAUAACUUCAGGAAACUGGGGCUAAUACCGGAUAGGAGCUCCUGCUGCAUGGUGGGGGUUGGAAAGUUUCGGCGGUUGGGGAUGGACUCGCGGCUUAUCAGCUUGUUGGUGGGGUAGUGGCUUACCAAGGCUUUGACGGGUAGCCGGCCUGAGAGGGUGACCGGCCACAUGGGGACUGAGAUACGGCCCAGACUCCUACGGGAGGCAGCAGUGGGGAAUAUUGCACAAUGGGCGGAAGCCUGAUGCAGCAACGCCGCGUGCGGGAUGACGGCCUUCGGGUGGUAAACCGCUUUCGCCUGUGACGAAGCGUGAGUGACGGUAAUGGGUAAGAAGCACCGGCUAACUACGUG